Molecule: ribosomal RNA, 468 nt
Filed under: uncultured bacterium
Lineage: Bacteria
Description: partial 16S ribosomal RNA
Rfam family: Bacterial small subunit ribosomal RNA
Source: RNAcentral
GACGAACGCUGGCGGUGUGCUUAACACAUGCAAGUCGAACGGAAAGGCCCUGAUUGUGUGGGGUGCCCGAGUGGCGAACGGGGGCGUGACACGUGAGUAACCUGCUCUAGAUUUUGGGGUAACAUAAGGAAAGUGGGGUUAAUCUCGGACAGGAGACGCCGUUGGAUGGUGGGGGGUGGAAAGUCUCGGCGGUCGGGGCUGGAUUAGCGGAUUUCCAGCUUGUUGGUGGGGUAGUGGCUUACCAAGGCUUUGACGGGUAGCCGGCCUGAGAGGGUGACCGGCCACAUUGGGACUGAGAUACGGCCCAGACUCCUACGGGAGGCAGCAGUGGGGAAUAUUACACAAUGAGCGGGAGCCUGAUGCAGCAACGCCGCGUGCGGGAUGACGGCCUUCGGGUUGUAAACCGCUUUCGCCUGUGACGAAGCGUGAGUGACGGUAAUGGGUAAAGAAGCACCGGCUAACUACGUG